UACGGGGGGGGCAAGCGUUGUUCGGAAUUACUGGGCGUAAAGGGCUCGUAGGUGGCCAACUAAGUCAGACGUGAAAUCCCCAGGCUCAACUUGGGAACUGCGUCUGAUACUGGAUGGCUUGAAUUCGGGAGAGGGAUGCAGAAUUCCAGGUGUAGCGGUGAAAUGCGCAGAUAUCAGGAGGAACACCGGUGGCGAAGGCGGGUCUCUGGGCCGAUACUGACGCUGAGGAGCGAAAGCGUGGGGAGCGAACAGG
Molecule: ribosomal RNA, 253 nt
Filed under: uncultured bacterium
Lineage: Bacteria
Description: partial 16S ribosomal RNA
Rfam family: Bacterial small subunit ribosomal RNA
Source: RNAcentral